UGGUCUUUGUAGAUGGAAUCAAGACCUCUGGAGUUGUUAGGCUCUUGCUCUGCAUCCAGGCUGACUCGUUCAAUAUGGGUUUCUCUUUCAGAUGCGGAGAGACAAGAUGCGUGCACCAGAGCUACGGAGGAGGGGAGCGGAGCGCCGUGAGGAGGUGGGUCCGGGAGUGGAAUCAGAGGGAAGAUGUGGCUGGUGGCUCUAUGAGUAGCUGAUGGGGUUCUUUUUUUCUUUUUAUUUUGAAGGUACGAAGCAAGGAGCAAAGCAGG
Harpia harpyja (harpy eagle) is the source of this 266-nucleotide long non-coding RNA. RefSeq lists it as uncharacterized. The record is from RefSeq and is a predicted model, not a curated record. The transcript has 3 exons. Lineage: Eukaryota; Metazoa; Chordata; Aves; Accipitriformes; Accipitridae.